GGGUCAACCGAGUAAGGCCGCGGGCAGACCACCCGCUUGAUAGGCGGCAAGUGUAAGCGUAGCAAUACGUUCAGCUAAGCCGUACUAAUGGCCGAGGGCUUAUUCA
Molecule: ribosomal RNA, 106 nt
Filed under: Anaerolineae bacterium
Lineage: Bacteria; Bacillati; Chloroflexota; Anaerolineae
Description: partial 23S ribosomal RNA
Rfam family: Bacterial large subunit ribosomal RNA
Source: RNAcentral